GACGAACGCUGGCGGCGUGCUUAACACAUGCAAGUCGAACGAAGAGCGAUGGAAGCUUGCUUCUAUCACUCUUAGUGGCGCACUUGUGAGUAACGCGUAAUCAACCUGCCCUUCAGAGGGGGACAACAGUUGGAAACGACUGCUAAUACCGCAUACGAUCUAAUCACGGCAUCUAGGAUAGAUUAAAGGUGGCUUCUACAUGUAAGCUAUCACUGAAGGAGGGGAUUGCGUUUGAUUAGCUAGUGGGGGGGGUAACGGCCCACAAAGGCGAUGAUCAGUAGCCGGUCUGAGAGGAGGAACGGCCACAUUGGGACUGAGACACGGCCCAGACUACUACGGGAGGCAGAAGGGGGGAAUCUUCCGGAAAGGAAGAAAGUCUGACGGAGCAACGCCGCGUGAGUGAUGACGGCCGUCGGGUUGUAAAGGUCUGUUAAUAGGGACGAAAGGAAUUCUUGCGAAUAAUGAGAAGGAUUGACGGUACCGGAAGAGAAAGCCACGGCUAACUACGUG
This 510-nucleotide ribosomal RNA is filed under the name uncultured bacterium. RNAcentral describes it as "partial 16S ribosomal RNA". It matches the Rfam family "Bacterial small subunit ribosomal RNA", at positions 28 to 507 of the family's 1533-position model. The record is from RNAcentral.